This 511-nucleotide long non-coding RNA is filed under the name Arachis ipaensis. Its description in RNAcentral is "long non-coding RNA (AIPA_LNC000598)". Lineage: Eukaryota; Viridiplantae; Streptophyta; Magnoliopsida; Fabales; Fabaceae. The record is from RNAcentral.
UUUAUCAGUGGCUAAGAGAAUGGGGGGUUGAAUCUUAGCCCCUUUUUCGCUUAAUAACUCUUGUUGUCCUUUUAUCACACUUGAGGAGAUAUUUCUUGUUUUUGUCUCAUGCCUAGUCAAGAGACUUUUUCUUUUUGUCUCGUAACCAGCCAAGAGAUAUUUUUUUAGUUUUGUCUCCUAUGCAGCAGAAACAGAAAUGGAGUAGAAGAGAGAGAAAAUCACACCAAAAUGUAUCCUGGUUCAGCUGCUAAGUGCAAUGCAGUCUACAUCCAGUCUCCAUCACAACAAUGAUGAAAUUUUCACUAUAAUCAUCAUUACAUACACCAAUUCUCCCUAGGAACUACCCUUCAUAUCCAGGACAAGUCCAGAAUCUAACUCUAAUCCUGAACUUGACUUGGUAACCCACCAAGCUUUCAACGGCUAAGUGCUAACCCAACUUGCAAAGGGAUUCCCACAGAAUCAUGAAACACAACACAGAUGUACAAAGGACCUCUAGGACAUCUAUGACUUU